Non-coding RNA from Oryza sativa Japonica Group (Japanese rice), 1932 nucleotides. NCBI's taxonomy places the organism in Eukaryota, Viridiplantae, Streptophyta, Magnoliopsida, Poales, Poaceae. The record is from RefSeq and is a predicted model, not a curated record.
UUCAGUGUGAAAAACCAUCUUGCAUCAAACUGUUUGUCAUCUAUUUCCAAAACUGGGUCUCUUAGACAAUUUAACUAUGUUUUUGUGCUCAUCAAAGGAAAGCCAAGGAAAGCAGGGGCCUGACUCUUCUGACCAAGUUGUUACAUCGACCUUGCAAAGGGCGGCGCGUCCCAACCUCUAGUCUCCUAUUACCAAUUGCAGCAGACUUGGACUAAUGGAAUUGCUUGAAGUGAAGACCAGUGAACAAAAGGCUUUACACAAAAAGAAUUGUUGACCUCUUUCGGGAUAAGGCCCGGAAGAAGCAGGGAUUGAACCAGGGCUUGUUGACACAGCAGAUAUCAAAAGCCUAUGUUAUCUCAUUUUCAGGGACCGAGCAAGGGAUGAGCGCCCUCUGAUCUAACGUCCAAACAAACAACUGCCCUUGUUACUAGAAAUAUGAAGCGUGCUAGCGCGCACUUCCUAUUAACCAAUUCACCAAUUUUAAGAUUUGUAAACAAAGAUAAUAGGAGCCGAAGUCAAUCCCUUAAAACACUCCUCCCCGAGGGGACGUUAUCGGUCGCUUCGUUCCCUUGUUUACUGAUCUCUUUUCAGGAGAUAGGUCUACCGUUGCAAACUCAUCUGCUUGUAAAUUCAUUGUGUAAAAUAACUCGUAAAUUCAUUGUGCCAGAAUUGAUCACUGAUCAGGUGUGAUCAGUCUCAUCCGUCUAAGAGACUGAUCCGGUGCGAUGAGUCUCAUCCGUGUAAUAUUUUGGAAUUCCUCUUCCAACUCGUCCCGGAAUGGGCGUUAUGGCAAAGAACAAGAAGAAAAAGAAAGAAGGAACUUGUCCAAUAGUAACAAAUGGUGCCUCCACAGGUUGACAUCUGAUCCAACCUAGUAGUAAGCAAUCCGCCAAAAGCAACCAAAAUAUUCCUUGGUGAAUCGGUCGAAAACUUGAACUACGCACAUACAUUUCUUUAAAAAAAGGUAAAGCCAAGAGAUAUAAAAACUGGUGCUAUUGCGGCUACACCUGGAGUGAGCCCACAAGAGCUUUUACUGUACCAGUUCCGAAUAUAAGAAGGGGCUCGCGGAUUUUAACAGGUUAGGCUUAAUCUACCCAAUUGGAAAUCUCUUGCAGUAGCUUUUACUAGAAAUCCAUUUCUCCCACAAAGCUCCUGUGACCUAACCAUCUAGAUAGAAGCCUCGCAAAGAGUAUAUGCCGAAAAUCCUAUGUUUGGAGUGACCAUGAACACUGCUUGAGACCCUUCUUUCGUGAGAGUUGUGAUUCCGCUUUCAUGUUUUGGAUUGAGCUUUAAGUGGAUUGGAGGCGGGCAUUUUCAUUUCAACGUAGCAGUAGGGAAAGUGAUUUCGGGGGGUUAGUACACAUGGGCAGUUGGGACAGUUACAGGUAGUUAAGUUCGGUCUUAUUCUUAUGGGCAAGUGGUCCUAGAAUCUCUCUUUCCUUCUCUAAAGUAUAGCUUUAUGAAACUAGAAUAUGAGUAAAUAUAGAAAUAGAAUAAUAAGAAUAUCAUAUAGCCGUGUAUUGGUUUUGAUCCCAGUUUUAUCCUACAUGGCGGCUGAGUCAGCGUGGGACCCACGUGGACCCACAUGUCAGCAUGCCACGUUAUCUCUUCUUUCUUCCCUUUUCUUCUCUUUUCUCUUUUAUUUUCUUCUCUUCUCUUGUGAGGGUAGGCGGAGGCGGAGGCGGAGGCGGUGGCGCACGCCGUUCAGAAUGACCGCCUCCCCGUGCGCUCCGUGCUGCAGAUGCUCUUUUCCGAGCACGGCAAGCUCAACCGCCUCGCCGAGCUCAGCGGCGGUGCCUCCUUCGGCGCGCCCAGCCUGGUAUUCGACCUCCCCGGCGCCCGCUGCCCUCCAAGCGCGAGGUGCUCGCCCAGCACCACGAGCUCCGCCGCCUCCGCGAGGACUUCGCCCGCCUCCAGGUCCAGUGCAGCGCG